GCCAUCAGAAUUCAAGAUGGUUCAGUUAAAAAAACCAGUGCUAGCGCUUAAAAAAGACUAAAAAAACAAGAGAUGCAAGGUACAGGUGUAAUAAAAGGGAAAGGAUACUAGACAUUGGUAUUCAUUGUGAACGAUGGAGAAGAGUUAAAGAAGCUACUGGGAUUGAAAAGGACGAUAAAAUGAUGGAAAUAUUGAUCGAUGCAACUACUUCUGAACUAGAGAGCUUCAACAUUCAUAUUUUGAUGUAUGCUCCAAAGCGAAAUGCUUUCAGCUAUGCUGUUUAUAGAUGCAGGUGUCAGUUAGCAGCAAUAGAUUAUUCAAAACACUUGAAUCGUCCUGUUUUGUUGGACAAAGAAGGAAAUUAGAGGGGAAAGAGUGCACUCAAAAGCUGCUGGUAAUUGGAGCACAAGACCUAUGAAAAAACCCAAGGAGUAUACAUACAUAACCGGUUUGAUCACUGAAGUUACAAAUGAAUUCACCAUAGGCAAGAAAAGAAUAAGUGGCAAAUGUGAACAGCUGUCUUGACCCCAAAAGAAUUAGGUCAUCUAUAGUCCUUGUCACACCUCCACCUUCAUCGAUACUUAGUGAUCAGCAUGUCUCUAGAUUGAGAAAAGCGAAAAAAAAGAAUUGUUGCCCAAGACGUGUUUGAUGUUCAUUUGAAGUUGACGCAGAAGUUAUCUUUGUUAGAUAACUAUUAAGUUUCACAUCUUUAGUGUUAAUAUAAUUUUAGAAGUGUUUUGAAAAUGUACAAUCUUACAGUCAUAAUGUUAUAAAUAAUGAAUGCUCUUGGUUGUACAAUGCAAUGACAUUUUUCAGGAAGUUUUAAUAUUGAAUUUAGCAUGAAAUAUAUUUUUAUGUCCCCCACUAUAGUAGAGAGGGACAUUUUGUUUUUGCCCUGUCUGUUGGUCUGUCUGUCUGUCUGUUUGCGCCAACUUUAACAUUUUGCAAUAACUUUUGCCAUAUUGAAGAUAGCAACUUGAUAUUUGGCAUGCAUAUGUAUCUCAUGGAGCUGCACAUUUUGAGUGGUGUAAGAUCAAGGUCAUCCUUCAAGGCCAAAGGUCAAAUAUAUGG
Molecule: long non-coding RNA, 1071 nt
Organism: Dreissena polymorpha
Lineage: Eukaryota; Metazoa; Mollusca; Bivalvia; Myida; Dreissenidae
Exons: 4
Source: RefSeq, a predicted model, not a curated record